This 731-nucleotide ribosomal RNA is filed under the name marine actinobacterium RS.Sph.006. Its description in RNAcentral is "bacterial SSU rRNA". It matches the Rfam family "Bacterial small subunit ribosomal RNA", at positions 48 to 790 of the family's 1533-position model. Lineage: Bacteria; Bacillati; Actinomycetota; Actinomycetes. The record is from RNAcentral.
CUAACACAUGCAAGUCCGAACGGUGAAGCCCAGCUUGCUGGGUGGAUCAGUGGCGAACGGGUGAGUAACACGUGAGCAAUCUGCCCCUGACUCUGGGAUAAGCGCUGGAAACGGCGUCUAAUACUGGAUAUGAACCGUGGAGGCAUCUUCAACGGUUGGAAAGAUUUUUUGGUCAGGGAUGAGCUCGCGGCCUAUCAGCUUGUUGGUGAGGUAAUGGCUCACCAAGGCGUCGACGGGUAGCCGGCCUGAGAGGGUGACCGGCCACACUGGGACUGAGACACGGCCCAGACUCCUACGGGAGGCAGCAGUGGGGAAUAUUGCACAAUGGGCGCAAGCCUGAUGCAGCAACGCCGCGUGAGGGAUGACGGCCUUCGGGUUGUAAACCUCUUUUAGCAGGGAAGAAGCGAAAGUGACGGUACCUGCAGAAAAAGCGCCGGCUAACUACGUGCCAGCAGCCGCGGUAAUACGUAGGGCGCAAGCGUUAUCCGGAAUUAUUGGGCGUAAAGAGCUCGUAGGCGGUUUGUCGCGUCUGCUGUGAAAUCCCGAGGCUCAACCUCGGGUCUGCAGUGGGUACGGGCAGACUAGAGUGCGGUAGGGGGGAUUGGAAUUCCUGGUGUAGCGGUGGAAUGCGCAGAUAUCAGGAGGAACACCGGUGGCGAAGGCAGAUCUCUGGGCCGUAACUGACGCUGAGGAGCGAAAGGGUGGGGAGCAAACAGGCUUAGAUACCCUGG